CCUACGGGAGGCAGCAGUGAGGAAUAUUGGUCAAUGGGCGAGAGCCUGAACCAGCCAAGUAGCGUGAAGGAUGAAGGUCCUACGGAUUGUAAACUUCUUUUAUACGGGAAUAAAGUGAGGCACGUGUGCCUUUUUGUAUGUACCGUAUGAAUAAGGAUCGGCUAACUCCGUGCCAGCAGCCGCGGUAAUACGGAGGAUCCGAGCGUUAUCCGGAUUUAUUGGGUUUAAAGGGAGCGUAGGCGGACGCUUAAGUCAGUUGUGAAAGUUUGCGGCUCAACCGUAAAAUUGCAGUUGAUACUGGUUUCCUUGAGUGCAGUUGAGGCAGGCGGAAUUCGUGGUGUAGCGGUGAAAUGCUUAGAUAUCACGAAGAACCCCGAUUGCGAAGGCAGCUUGCUAAACUGUAACUGACGUUCAUGCUCGAAAG
Molecule: ribosomal RNA, 424 nt
Filed under: uncultured Megamonas sp.
Lineage: Bacteria; Bacillati; Bacillota; Negativicutes; Selenomonadales; Selenomonadaceae
Description: bacterial SSU rRNA
Rfam family: Bacterial small subunit ribosomal RNA
Source: RNAcentral